Long non-coding RNA from Mauremys reevesii (Reeves's turtle), 851 nucleotides. RefSeq lists it as uncharacterized. The record is from RefSeq and is a predicted model, not a curated record. The transcript has 3 exons. Lineage: Eukaryota; Metazoa; Chordata; Testudines; Geoemydidae.
CACCACCCCCACCUCCAAGAGCACUGUGGAGACUUCCAAGGAGUCUGAGUCAGGCCCCUGCCGGGAACAGUGAGGCAGAAGAUGAGUAUGGAGGGCAGGUGACUGGAGGAUCCAGCUGUGCAGCAAGCCAGGCCAAGUUCUUGACUUCACUGCGGUGCUACCAAUCCUGACAGCUGAGGAAGGCACCUCUAAGUAUGCAGUUGGGGGUUCAACUGCUGCUGUUCCUGCUACUUUGAUUUGAAACAUCUGUUUAACUUGCUCUUUCUUACCUCAUGGUAGAAGAGGUGGUGGAACAACCAAUAUAGGCCAUGUUCACCACAGCUGGUGCUGUGACUGCCGCUGGGCUGUAGCAAUGUGAGAAUGCAGUGCUUACAACUUUUGGGGAGCAAGCAGAAACUCCUGGACCAGAGAAGGAGAAAAGACCCUGGGUGCCAGGAGAUCCUGCAAGCCAGUGCUGCAUCAGAACAAUACCAGGGCCUGGAGAUCACUCAUGCAGACAGCAUGGAGAAGGAUAGAGUGGAGAGGAGAAAGGUGCAGGAAAAGGAGAGGAACAUGCAGCAGGUGAUGCUUGCUUUCCUCAGAUGGCAGACUGGGGGACCUGCAGCUUUAACAAUCCCAUGCUCACCUCCUAGAGUCAAUUGAGAAUUCAGUAUCAGGCCCUCCCUAUACCCCUGUGAUGUAUGGUUGAAACAUGACAUUUAUAUCACUGUGGCAUUGUACAAGAUUUGUUGCAGUUGUCUGUCAUGUAAGAUGUCAAUGGGAAAAGUUAUUUGGCUGAGGGUGAUUAUCCUGUUUAUAUGCAUGUAUUUAUCUGAAAUUAUAAAUAGUGACUAGAUAUUGGCAUCCUACCU